GACAGAGGGGGCAAGCGUUGCUCGGAAUCACUGGGCGUAAAGGGCGCGUAGGCGGGAUGGCAAGUCAGUCGUGAAAUCUCUCGGCUCAACCGAGAAACGUCGGCUGAUACUGCCGUUCUUGAGGGAUGCAGAGGAGACUGGAAUUCCCGGUGUAGCGGUGAAAUGUGUAGAGAUCGGGAGGAACACCAAUGGCGAAAGCAGGUACCUGGACUAUUACUGACGCUCAGCUGCGAAAGCUAGGGGAGCAAACAGG
RNAcentral lists this ribosomal RNA (253 nucleotides) under uncultured bacterium. Its description in RNAcentral is "partial 16S ribosomal RNA". It matches the Rfam family "Bacterial small subunit ribosomal RNA", at positions 524 to 776 of the family's 1533-position model. The record is from RNAcentral.